RNAcentral lists this ribosomal RNA (466 nucleotides) under Vreelandella stevensii. RNAcentral's name for it is "partial 16S ribosomal RNA". It matches the Rfam family "Bacterial small subunit ribosomal RNA", at positions 338 to 795 of the family's 1533-position model. Lineage: Bacteria; Pseudomonadati; Pseudomonadota; Gammaproteobacteria; Oceanospirillales; Halomonadaceae. The record is from RNAcentral.
CCUAACGGGAGGCAGCAGUGGGGAAUAUUGGACAAUGGGGGCAACCCUGAUCCAGCCAUGCCGCGUGUGUGAAGAAGGCCCUCGGGUUGUAAAGCACUUUCAGUGAGGAAGAACGCCUGGUGGUUAAUACCCAUCAGGAAAGACAUCACUCACAGAAGAAGCACCGGCUAACUCCGUGCCAGCAGCCGCGGUAAUACGGAGGGUGCGAGCGUUAAUCGGAAUUACUGGGCGUAAAGCGCGCGUAGGUGGCUUGAUAAGCCGGUUGUGAAAGCCCCGGGCUCAACCUGGGAACGGCAUCCGGAACUGUCAAGCUAGAGUGCAGGAGAGGAAGGUAGAAUUCCCGGUGUAGCGGUGAAAUGCGUAGAGAUCGGGAGGAAUACCAGUGGCGAAGGCGGCCUUCUGGACUGACACUGACACUGAGGUGCGAAAGCGUGGGUAGCAAACAGGAUUAGAUACCCUAGUAGUC